RNAcentral lists this ribosomal RNA (468 nucleotides) under uncultured bacterium. Its description in RNAcentral is "partial 16S ribosomal RNA". It matches the Rfam family "Bacterial small subunit ribosomal RNA", at positions 28 to 507 of the family's 1533-position model. The record is from RNAcentral.
GACGAACGCUGGCGGCGUGCCUAACACAUGCAAGUCGAACGGAAAGGCCCUGCUUUUGCGGGGUGCACGAGUGGCGAACGGGUGUGUAACACGUGUGUAACCCGCCCUUGACUUUGGGAUAACUUCAGGAAACUGGGGCUAAUACCGGGUAGGAGCUUCUGCUCCGUGGUGGGGGUUGGAAAGUGUCGGCGGUUGGGGAUGGACUCGCGGCUUAUCAGCUUGUUUGUGUGGUAGUGGCUGACCAAGGCUAAGACGGGUAGCCGGCCUGAGAGCGGGACCAGGGACAAUAGGACUGCGAGACGGACCAGACGGGUACGGGCGGCAGCGGUGGAAAGUCUUACGCAGUGAGGGCGAGCCUGAUACGAAGGCGCCCCGUGCGGAAUACCGGCCUACGAGUUGUGAACCGCUUUCGCCUGAGACGAGGCGUGAGUGACGGUACUGAGUAAAGAAGCCCCGGCUAACUACGUG